UCCUACGGGAGGCAGCAGUGGGGAAUUUUGGACAAUGGGGGAAACCCUGAUCCAGCCAUCCCGCGUGAGUGAAGAAGGCCUUCGGGUUGUAAAGCUCUUUCGAAAGUGAAGAAAACUUAUUUCGUAAUAUGUUAUAAGUAUGACGGUAACUUUAGAAGAAGCACCGGCUAACUACGUGCCAGCAGCCGCGGUAAUACGUAGGGUGCGAGCGUUAAUCGGAAUUACUGGGCGUAAAGCGUGCGCAGGCGGUUUUGUAAGUCAGAUGUGAAAUCCCCGAGCUUAACUUGGGAACUGCGUUUGAAACUACAAGACUAGAGUGUGUCAGAGGGGGGUAGAAUUCCACGUGUAGCAGUGAAAUGCGUAGAGAUGUGGAGGAAUACCAAUGGCGAAGGCAGCCCCCUGGGAUAACACUGACGCUCAUGCACGAAAGCGUGGGGAGCGAACAGGAUUAGAUACCCUGGUAGUCCACGCCGUAAACGAUGUGUGCUAGAUGUUGGAGGGUUACCUUUCAGUGUCGCAGCUAACGCACUAAGCACACCGCCUGGGAAGUACGGUCGCAAGAUUAAAACUCA
RNAcentral lists this ribosomal RNA (572 nucleotides) under uncultured bacterium. RNAcentral's name for it is "bacterial SSU rRNA". It matches the Rfam family "Bacterial small subunit ribosomal RNA", at positions 337 to 903 of the family's 1533-position model. The record is from RNAcentral.